UGAGAGAAUUCUACCUGCGCUGGUGACC
RNAcentral lists this non-coding RNA (28 nucleotides) under Homo sapiens (human). The record is from RNAcentral. Lineage: Eukaryota; Metazoa; Chordata; Mammalia; Primates; Hominidae.